Acanthosepion pharaonis is the source of this 113-nucleotide non-coding RNA. The record is from the annotation of a GenBank genome assembly. Lineage: Eukaryota; Metazoa; Mollusca; Cephalopoda; Sepiida; Sepiidae.
UUACGGCCGUAUCACAUCGAAACACUAGUUCACAUACGAUCACCGAAGUUAAGUAACGUCGAGCCUGGUCCGUACUUAGAUGGUGGACGGCUUGGGAAUAUCAGACGGUGUAA